RNAcentral lists this unclassified non-coding RNA (380 nucleotides) under soil metagenome. RNAcentral's name for it is "partial contains 5.8S ribosomal RNA, internal transcribed spacer 2, and large subunit ribosomal RNA". The stretch from base 4 to 119 matches the Rfam family "5.8S ribosomal RNA", at positions 39 to 154 of the family's 154-position model. The record is from RNAcentral.
GAUAAGAACGCAGCGAAAUGCGAUAAGUAAUGUGAAUUGCAGAAUUCAGUGAAUCAUCGAAUCUUUGAACGCACCUUGCGCUCCUUGGUAUUCCGAGGAGCAUGCCUGUUUGAGUGUCAUUAAUAUAUCAACCUCUUCAGCUUAUGCUUGUUGAGUGUUGGAUGGUGGGGGUUUGCUGGUGUCUUAUGAAGUCAGCUCCUCUGAAAUGCAUUAGCGGAACAAUUUGUUGACCGUUCAUUGGUGUGAUAAAAAUAUCUACGCUAUUGACGUCAGUCAGUUCAGCUUCUAACAGUCCAUUGACUUGGACAAAUUUUUCAUUAAUGUGACCUCAAAUCAGGUAGGACUACCCGCUGAACUUAAGCAUAUCAAUAAGCGGAGGA